CCUACGGGUGGCAGCAGUGAGGAAUAUUGGUCAAUGGGCGCGAGCCUGAACCAGCCAAGUAGCGUGAAGGAUGACUGCCCUACGGGUUGUAAACUUCUUUUAUAAAGGAAUAAAGUGAGGCACGUGUGCCUUUUUGUAUGUAUUUUAUGAAUAAUGAUCGGCUAACUCCGUGCCAGCAGCCGCGGUAAUACGGAGGAUCCGAGCGUUAUCCGGAUUUAUUGGGUUUAAAGGGAGCGUAGAUGGGUUGUUAAGUCAGUUGUGAAAGUUUGCGGCUCAACCGUAAAAUUGCAAUUGAUACUGGCAGCCGUGAGUACAGUUGAGGUAGGCGGAAUUCGUGGUGUAGCGGUGAAAUGCUUAGAUAUCACGAGGAACCCCGAUUGCGAAGGCAGCCUGCCGGGGUGCGACUGACGCUGAGGCUCGAAGGUGCGGGUAUCAAACAGGAUUAGAUACCCCAGUAGUC
Molecule: ribosomal RNA, 460 nt
Filed under: uncultured bacterium
Lineage: Bacteria
Description: partial 16S ribosomal RNA
Rfam family: Bacterial small subunit ribosomal RNA
Source: RNAcentral